AAAAAUAUAGUUUAAUGAAAACGUUGUUUUGAUAGGACAAAGAUGCAUUUAAUGUUAUUUUUA
This 63-nucleotide transfer RNA is filed under the name Epigonichthys maldivensis. Its description in RNAcentral is "tRNA-Ile". Lineage: Eukaryota; Metazoa; Chordata; Leptocardii; Amphioxiformes; Branchiostomatidae. The record is from RNAcentral.